Molecule: non-coding RNA, 43 nt
Filed under: Schistosoma curassoni
Lineage: Eukaryota; Metazoa; Platyhelminthes; Trematoda; Strigeidida; Schistosomatidae
Source: RNAcentral
AUAGCUGACGAGUCCCAACUAGGACGAAACGCGCAUCCUGGAU